UCUCCGUUGGUGAACCAGCGGAGGGAUCAUUAUCGAGUUUAUAACUCCCAAACCCUAUGUGAUCUUACCACUUGUUGCUUCGGCGCGCGCUUCGGCGCCGCCGAGGACACUUAAACUCUUUGUUUUUAUAAGCAUUUCUGAGUGGCCGAAAGGCAAAAUACAAAUGAAUCAAAACUUUCAACAACGGAUCUCUUGGUUCUG
Molecule: unclassified non-coding RNA, 201 nt
Filed under: plant metagenome
Description: partial contains small subunit ribosomal RNA, internal transcribed spacer 1, and 5.8S ribosomal RNA
Source: RNAcentral